CUACUGGCCAGCCCUGCAAAACGUUUACACCAACGUCACUGAAGGGCUGAAGGAAGCCAAUGACAUCGUGCUCUAUUUGAAGCCUCUACAGAUCCUGCUGGAGGAGAUGGAACAAGCUGACUUCACGAUGCUCCCCACCUUCAUUGCCAAGGUGCUGGACACCAUCUGCUUCAUCUGGGCCACCUCUGAGUACUAUAACACACCUGCCAGGAUCAUCGUCAUCCUGCAGGAGUUCUGCAACCAAAUCAUCGAGAUGACGCGAACCUUCCUGAGCCCAGAAGAGGUGCUGAAGGGCCUGCAAGGCGAAAUCGAGGAAGUCCUGAGCAGCAUCUCCCUGGCUGUGAACGUGCUGAAGGAGCUCUACCAGACGUAUGACUUCUGCUGUGUAAACAUGAAGCUUUUCUUUAAGGACAAAGAGCCCGUGCCUUGGGAAUUCCCUUCUUCUCUUGCCUUUUCCAGGAUGAAUUCCUUCUUCCGCCGCAUCCAGACCAUUGAGGAACUCUAUAAAACGGCGAUUGAGUUUCUGAAGCUGGAGAAAAUCGAGCUUGGGGGCGUGCGUGGGAACCUCCUCGGGAGCCUGGUGACCCGUAUCUAUGAUGAGGUCUUUGAGCUGGUGAAGGUUUUUGCUGACUGCAAAUAUGAUCCCUUGGACCCUGGAGACUCGAAUUUUGACCGUGAUUAUGCUGAUUUUGAGAUCAAAAUCCAAGACCUGGAUAGGAGGCUGGCCACGAUCUUUUGCCAAGGAUUUGAUGACUGCAGCUGUAUCGAGUCCUCUGCAAAGCUCCUGUACAUGUGUGGGGGCCUCAUGGAGCGGCCCCUGAUUCUUGCCGAGGUGGCGCCCAGGUAUUCAGUCAUGCUGGAGCUGUUUGAUGCUGAGCUAGACAAUGCUAAGAUCUUGUAUGAUGCCCAGAUGGCGGCCUCCGAGGAGGGGAACAUCCCCCUGAUCCACAAAAACAUGCCUCCCGUGGCCGGGCAGCUCGAGUGGGGCCUGGAGAUGCAGGAGAGGCUGGAGGUGUCCAUGAAACACCUGAAGCACAUCGAACACCCGGUCAUGUCUGGAGCGGAGGCCAAGCUGAUUUAUCAGAAGUAUGACGAGAUGAUGGAGCUGCUGAGGUGCCACCGCGAGAAGAUCUACCAGCAGUGGGUGGCGGGCGUGGACCAGGACUGCCAUUUUAACCUGGGGCAGCCGCUGAUUCUGCGGGACGCCACCAGCAACCUCAUCCAUGUCAACUUCAGCAAAGCGUUGGUGGCAGUUCUGAGAGAAGUCAAGUAUUUGAAUUUCCAGCAACAGAAAGAGAUUCCAGACAGUGCAGAGAGUCUGUUCUCAGAGAACGAAACUUUCCGGAAGUUUGUGGGCAACCUGGAGCUCAUCGUUGGCUGGUAUAAUGAGAUAAAGACUUCAGUGAAGGCAGUAGAAUUUCUACUAAUAAAGUCAGAACUGGAAGCAAUCGAUGUCAAGUUACUGAGCGCUGAAACAACAUUAUUCUGGAAUGGCGAAGGUGUGUUUCAGUACAUUCAAGAGGUGCGAGAAAUUCUGCACAACUUGCAGAACAGGAUGCAAAAGGCAAAACAAAAUAUAGAAGGAAUUUCCCAGGCUAUGAAGGACUGGUCGGCCAACCCGCUGUUUGAAAGAAAGGACAAUAAGAAAGAGGCCCUGUUAGACUUGGAUGGAAGAAUUGCCAACCUCAACAAGCGCUACACAGCGGUCCGGGAUGCUGGCGUGAAGAUCCAAGCCAUGGUUGCAGUAAGGAAACAUCCAGGAGGUUUUUUGAGAACCCACCUGCUUUUAGCAGGGAGGAGAGAGUAAAGGCAGAAGUGGAGAUUUCAUAAAAAUGAUUAGUGACAC
This 1846-nucleotide small RNA is filed under the name Pongo abelii (Sumatran orangutan). Its description in RNAcentral is "retained intron". Lineage: Eukaryota; Metazoa; Chordata; Mammalia; Primates; Hominidae. The record is from RNAcentral.